GAUGAACGCUGGCGGCGUGCCUAAUACAUGCAAGUCGAGCGAACGGACGAGAAGCUUGCUUCUCUGAUGUUAGCGGCGGACGGGUGAGUAACACGUGGAUAACCUACCUAUAAGACUGGGAUAACUUCGGGAAACCGGAGCUAAUACCGGAUGAUAUUUUGAACCGCAUGGUUCAAAAGUGAAAGACGGUCUUGCUGUCACUUAUAGAUGGAUCCGCGCUGCAUUAGCUAGUCGGUAAGGUAACGGCUUACCAAGGCAACGAUGCAUAGCCGACCUGAGAGGGUGAUCGGCCACACUGGAACCGAGACACGGUCCAGACUCCUACGGGAGGCAGCAGUAGGGAAUCUUCCGCAAUGGGCGAAAGCCUGACGGAGCAACGCCGCGUGAGUGAUGAAGGUCUUCGGAUCGUAAAACUCUGUUAUUAGGGAAGAACAUAUGUGUAAGUAACUGUGCACAUCUUGACGGUACCUAAUCAGAAAGCCACGGCUAACUACGUG
This 497-nucleotide ribosomal RNA is filed under the name uncultured bacterium. RNAcentral describes it as "partial 16S ribosomal RNA". It matches the Rfam family "Bacterial small subunit ribosomal RNA", at positions 28 to 507 of the family's 1533-position model. The record is from RNAcentral.